RNAcentral lists this transfer RNA (54 nucleotides) under Trichostrongylus vitrinus. Its description in RNAcentral is "tRNA-His". Lineage: Eukaryota; Metazoa; Nematoda; Chromadorea; Rhabditida; Trichostrongylidae. The record is from RNAcentral.
AGCUUGUUAGUUUAUAUAAAAUAUUUAUUUGUGAUAUAAAAGAAUAAAAGCUAU